AACGCACAUUGCGCCCUUUGGUAUUCCAUAGGGCAUGCCUGUUCGAGCGUCGUCUCAAACCUUCAAGCCUAGCUUGGUGUUGGGUGACUGUCCCGCGUUACCGCGCGGACUCGCCUCAAAGUCAUUGGCAGCAGACUCGGUAGCUAAUUGCGCAGCACAUCGCGCCGGAAGCUCCCUGUCCGCUAUCCACGAGCACAGUCUCAUCAGUUUUUGACCUCGGAUCAGGUAGGGAUACCCGCUGAACUUAA
This 248-nucleotide unclassified non-coding RNA is filed under the name uncultured Pleosporales. Its description in RNAcentral is "sequence contains ITS2". RNAcentral also lists the same sequence under 1 other name. The record is from RNAcentral. Lineage: Eukaryota; Fungi; Ascomycota; Dothideomycetes; Pleosporales.